RNAcentral lists this ribosomal RNA (348 nucleotides) under uncultured bacterium. RNAcentral's name for it is "bacterial SSU rRNA". It matches the Rfam family "Bacterial small subunit ribosomal RNA", at positions 449 to 793 of the family's 1533-position model. The record is from RNAcentral.
UAUGUUAAUAGCAUACUCAUUUGACGUUAGCUGCAGAAGAAGCACCGGCUAACUCCGUGCCAGCAGCCGCGGUAAUACGGAGGGUGCGAGCGUUAAUCGGAAUUACUGGGCGUAAAGCGCAUGCAGGUGGUUUGUUAAGUCAGAUGUGAAAGACCCGGGGCGUCAACCUCGGAAUUGCAUUUGAAACUGGCAAACUAGAGUACUGUAGAGGGGGGUAGGAAUUUCAGGUGUAGCGGUGAAAUGCGUAGAGAUCUGAAGGAAUACCGGUGGCGAAGGCGGCCCCCUGGACAAAGACUGACGCUCAGAUGCGAAAGCGUGGGGAGCAAACAGGAUUAGAUACCCUGGUAG